This 301-nucleotide ribosomal RNA is filed under the name uncultured bacterium. RNAcentral's name for it is "partial 16S ribosomal RNA". It matches the Rfam family "Bacterial small subunit ribosomal RNA", at positions 509 to 807 of the family's 1533-position model. The record is from RNAcentral.
CAGCCGCCGCGGGAAUACGGAGGGAGCUAGCGUUGUUCGGGAUUACUGGGCGUAAAGCGCACGUAGGCGGCUUUGUAAGUUAGAGGUGAAAGCCCGGAGCUCAACUCCGGAAUUGCCUUUAAGACUGCCGAGCUAGUAGGUGAGAGAGGUAAGUGGAAUUCCGAGUGUAGAGGUGAAAUUCGUAGAUAUUCGGAAGAACACCAGUGGCGAAGGCGGCUUACUGGCUCAUUCUAGACGCUGAGGUGCGAAAGCGUGGGGAGCAAACAGGAUUAGAUACCCGUGUAGUCCCUGUCUCUUAUAC